GACGAACGCUGGCGGCGUGCUUAACACAUGCAAGUCGAACGGAAAGGCCCUGCUUUUGUGGGGUGCUCGAGUGGCGAACGGGUGAGUAACACGUGAGUAACCUGCCCUUGACUUUGGGAUAACUUCAGGAAACUGGGGCUAAUACCGGAUAGGAGCUCCUGCUGCAUGGUGGGGGUUGGAAAGUUUCGGCGGUUGGGGAUGGACUCGCGGCUUAUCAGCUUGUUGGUGGGGUAGUGGCUUACCAAGGCUUUGACGGGUAGCCGGCCUGAGAGGGUGACCGGCCACAUUGGGACUGAGAUACGGCCCAGACUCCUACGGGAGGCAGAAGUGGGGAAUAUUGCACAAUGGGCGGAAGCCUGAUGCAGCAACGCCGCGUGCGGGAUGACGGCCUUCGAGUUGUAAACAGAUUUCGCCUGUGACGAAGCGUGAGUGACGGUAAUGGGUAAAGAAGCACCGGCUAACUACGUG
This 468-nucleotide ribosomal RNA is filed under the name uncultured bacterium. RNAcentral describes it as "partial 16S ribosomal RNA". It matches the Rfam family "Bacterial small subunit ribosomal RNA", at positions 28 to 507 of the family's 1533-position model. The record is from RNAcentral.